GUCUGCAGACUGCAGUAGAAAUUCAUGGUUCAUCAGAUGUGGUCUAGUUGUUAGGGAUUCGAGACGUGUUCAGCGAGGGGAUAAUGUUCAGUGCGUUCCGUUUUAAACAUUCUUUUGGCUACUGGUUAAUAGACUAAAAUUUGCGAUUUUUUCCUACCAACCUGAGGGACAAUUCUUUCCCACAACACACGAUUGUUUGUAUUGAUUGUUGUUGUAGUAGGCUAUGACGUCACUGAAAUAACCAUGCGUCUGAAGUGCGCCACCGGCAUUGUCACCACGAAUCAUCUUCUGAUACUUUGUCCGGUAUUGGUACAAGUAAUUACAUGGAGGUAGAGUGUCAAUUUGGGACUUGAUUUGUCAUCUGUUGUUCGAGGUGGAAAAACAGGGAUUGGAUCAACAAUUUUAUUCCCACACUCACCUUUGGAAUUCUUGGAUGGUAGCUGUUGUUUUAGGACACUCCUUGUUUGGGACUUGAUUUUUCACCAUUUGUUGAUUUGAAAAAACAGGGAUUGGACGAACCAUUUUAUUCCCACACUUAUCAUUGGAAUUCUGGCAUGGUAGCUGUUGCAGGACACUCUCCUUGGUUCGUUAGUGAGGUUCCAGAAAGCAGCAUUCCAAGAACAAGAAUCUAAUUUACAGGCUAUUAACAUAAUCUAGAAUGUUUAAUUUUGUUUUCCUGCCUUGAUGGUGAAAUUGAAUUAUAUUGGAACUUAAAAGUU
Molecule: long non-coding RNA, 719 nt
Organism: Daphnia magna
Lineage: Eukaryota; Metazoa; Arthropoda; Branchiopoda; Diplostraca; Daphniidae
Exons: 4
Source: RefSeq, a predicted model, not a curated record